AGCGAACGCUGGCGGCAGGCCUAACACAUGCAAGUCGAACGAACCUUUCGGGGUUAGUGGCGGACGGGUGAGUAACACGUGGGAACGUGCCUUUAGGUUCGGAAUAACUCAGGGAAACUUGUGCUAAUACCGAAUGUGCCCUUCGGGGGAAAGAUUAAUCGCCUUUAGAGCGGCCCGCGUCUGAUUAGCUAGUUGGUUGAGGUAAUGGCUCACCAAGGCGACGAUCAGUAGCUGGUCUGUGAGGAUGAUCAGCCACAUUGGGACUGAGACACGGCCCAAACUCCUACGGGAGGCAGCAGUGGGGAAUCUUGCGCAAUGGGCGAAAGCCUGACGCAGCCAUGCCGCGUGAAUGAUGAAGGUCUUAGGAUUGUAAAAUUCUUUCGCCGGGGACGAUAAUGACGGUACCCGGAGAAGAAGCCCCGGCUAACUUCGUG
This 434-nucleotide ribosomal RNA is filed under the name uncultured bacterium. RNAcentral describes it as "partial 16S ribosomal RNA". It matches the Rfam family "Bacterial small subunit ribosomal RNA", at positions 29 to 507 of the family's 1533-position model. The record is from RNAcentral.